This is a small RNA of Pseudomonas fulva 12-X, 134 nucleotides long. Lineage: Bacteria; Pseudomonadati; Pseudomonadota; Gammaproteobacteria; Pseudomonadales; Pseudomonadaceae. The record is from Rfam.
CGUGCUUAGGGACAAGCGCAGGUCGUUAGGGACAACGAUCAGGACAUCGCGGGACGCGAUUCAUCAGGAUGAUGAGUUGGGAGUUUCAGGGAAUAGGGACAAAAGAGUGGGCGGGUAAAACCGCCCCUUUUUUU